AUGCAACUAACCUGUGAUUUCCUCCUCGCAGCUUACACCCGUGAACAGUCAACUGUACCACACAUUAGGACACCUGUGACCACACACAAGACCAGCACAGCCACCUCCAUCAGCAGCACCUCCAAGACCUCUGUCUCCACAGGGCCCAGCCCAGCAAGCAGCACAGGAGCCCCUCUGGAAACAACCUCUGCCCAUGCCAGCUCUCCACCUGCCCCCAGCAGCCCGCUCAGCACAAGGCUGCCAUCCACUGCCACCACUUCCACUGGCUCCUCCACAGCAGCUGCCAGCACCAGCCCCAGGCCUACACCUACAACCCUGAGGCCCAGGCCCUCUUCCCCAGCAACCCAAGCUGCAAAGGAGUCUCCUGUAACAGAGUCCUCUGCACCCACCACAGCUAAAACCAGCACGCUGCCACAACCUGCUUCUUCUCCCUCCUCAACUGUGUCCUCAACAUGGCUCAGCUCCUCACAGCCUGCCUUCACCCAUGAAGAGUCAGCUGUGCCACACACUGGGACACCUGUGACCACACACAAGACCAGCACAGCCACCUCCAUCAGCAGCACCUCCAAGACCUCUGUCUCCACAGGGCCCAGCCCAGCAAGCAGCACAGGAGCCCCUCUGGAAACAACCUCUGCCCAUGCCAGCUCUCCACCUGCCCCCAGCAGCCCGCUCAGCACAAGGCUGCCAUCCACUGCCACCACUUCCACUGGCUCCUCCACAGCAGCUGCCAGCACCAGCCCCAGGCCUACACCUACAACCCUGAGGCCCAGGCCCUCUUCCCCAGCAACCCAAGCUGCAAAGGAGUCUCCUGUAACAGAGUCCUCUACAGUCACCACAGCCAAAACCAGCACUCUGCCACAACCUGCUUCUUCUCCCUCCUCAACUGUGUCCUCAACAUGGCUCAGCUCCUCACAGCCUGUCUUCACCCAUGAAGAGUCAGCUGUGCCACACACUGGGACACCUGUGACCACACACAAGACCAGCACAGCCACCUCCAUCAGCAGCACCUCCAAGACCUCUGUCUCCACAGGGCCCAGCCCAGCAAGCAGCACAGGAGCCCCUCUGGAAACAACCUCUGCCCAUGCCAGCUCUCCACCUGCCCCCAGCAGCCCGCUCAGCACAAGGCUGCCAUCCACUGCCACCACUUCCACUGGCUCCUCCACAGCAGCUGCCAGCACCAGCCCCAGGCCUACACCUACAACCCUGAGGCCCAGGCCCUCUUCCCCAGCAACCCAAGCUGCAAAGGAGUCUCCUGUAACAGAGUCCUCUGCAUCCACCACAGCCAAAACCAGCACGCUGCCACAACCUGCUUCUUCUCCCUCCUCAACUGUGUCCUCAACAUGGCUCAGCUCCUCACAGCCUGGUAAGGCUCUCUCCUGUGCAUCCCGCUAGUUCUCCUUGUGUGCCUUUUCCUUUCUUCAUUUCUAGCAGAGGAGGUUUUUUCAGU
This 1447-nucleotide long non-coding RNA is filed under the name Ficedula albicollis (Collared flycatcher). RNAcentral describes it as "lncRNA (ENSFALG00000023204.1)". The record is from RNAcentral. Lineage: Eukaryota; Metazoa; Chordata; Aves; Passeriformes; Muscicapidae.